This is a long non-coding RNA of Anas platyrhynchos (mallard), 605 nucleotides long. RefSeq lists it as uncharacterized. NCBI's taxonomy places the organism in Eukaryota, Metazoa, Chordata, Aves, Anseriformes, Anatidae. The record is from RefSeq and is a predicted model, not a curated record.
CGAGGUCUCUGCUAAUUCUCUCUCUUGUGAUGACUUAGCGGGAAGGAACAGUUGCAGAGCACAGCUAGGUGCCUUUCCACCGGCUGUGAGGGAACAUCUCUGUUGCUUUCAGUGCUGAGGAUGUCUGCUCGCCAGAAGGCCUGUGUUUCCUAGGCAGCUCAAGCUGGUGGGAGUCAUUUCUGCGAUGCCAGUGUUCCUUUCAUGAGUCUGCCUUAGCUCAAGGCAAAGAGCGUGAGCCUAUUUGAGACCGAAAUGCUAUUCUGCACCACGUUGGAUCAACAAGUUGAUGGCAGUAAUCAAUCAGCUUAUUAUUAUUGGAAAUAAUUUUGGCUAUAAGCCAAACCCUGCAUUACAGCCUUGAGGAUGUUUCCGUGCAGCAUAAGAUCUGGAAAGCAUUCAGGGUGGCUUAGCAGGAUUUCCACAUGGCUCCAGAGAGCAGAUAUUAUGGAAACUCUGCAACCUUCUGAACAUAGCAUGCUCUCCUUCUUUCUUGGCAUUUCAAACCUGUGAGGCUUCAUGAUCAAAGCCUUAGCACACCCCAAAUAAUAAAGGAAUCACCAGACACUCUACCUUGAUGUCAGGCUCCUGUUUCCCACGUAAUUUUU